Molecule: ribosomal RNA, 378 nt
Filed under: Alternaria japonica
Lineage: Eukaryota; Fungi; Ascomycota; Dothideomycetes; Pleosporales; Pleosporaceae
Description: partial 18S ribosomal RNA
Rfam family: Eukaryotic small subunit ribosomal RNA
Source: RNAcentral
ACAGGNNNNNNNNNCCCUUAGAUGUUCUGGGCCGCACGCGCGCUACACUGACAGAGCCAACGAGUUCUUCACCUUGUUCGAAAGAAUUGGGUAAUCUUGUUAAACUCUGUCGUGCUGGGGAUAAAGCAUUGCAAUUAUUGCUUUUCAACGAGGAAUGCCUAGUAAGCGCGUGUCAUCAGCAUGCGUUGAUUACGUCCCUGACCUUUGUACACACCGCCCGUCGCUACUACCGAUUGAAUGGCUCAGUGAGGCCUUCGGACUGGCUCGGGGAGGUUGGCAACGACCACCCCAAGCCGGAAAGUUCGUCAAACUCGGUCAUUUAGAGGAAGUAAAAGUCGUAACAAGGUCUCCGUAGGUGAACCUGCGGAGGGAUCAUUA